CUGUUUUGUGACUUCUUUUUAAAAGUUUAUUUGCUAGUUUUUAUCUUUUUUUUCAAAAUUUUUUGAGUUCAAAUAACGUGGUGAUGGUCAAGUCAGAACCCCAUUUAAAAACCAAGUAGAUUUCUAUUUCCAACUAAUUGUUUUCCUUGUUGUAAUUUUUAAGAUCGAUUCUAAUGUUUUAAAAUAUAUCAAUGAUUAGUUGUAUUUCUCGGCUUCUCUUAUUCUUUUUCAAUAUUUUUCUUCAUUGUUUUAUUGUCCUGUCUUAUUAAAAUGUCGUCACUUCUAAAUAUAGACAGUUCAUAAAUCAAUCAUUUUUCCUCGUAUUUUCUUUCUACCACUCAUUCCCUCUCUUUGCAAACUGUCCAUCAAAUUCAUUGAUAAAAUAUUUCUGCAAAUG
Long non-coding RNA from Caenorhabditis elegans, 397 nucleotides. Ensembl annotates it as ncRNA. Its record names the gene linc-107. The record is from Ensembl. NCBI's taxonomy places the organism in Eukaryota, Metazoa, Nematoda, Chromadorea, Rhabditida, Rhabditidae.